GUGGUAAAGGAACUCAAGAACAGCUGUCGAAAAUGUGGCAUGGUUAACCCUCUAACAAAAAGUACCAUCUGUGGGCACUGCAGUCUGGUUAUGCAGAUGUGCCCCAGUACAAAGCCCAAGGAAGAGAAAAUGGGUUGGCGUUACUGAGGUUAACGGGUCUGAAAGCAGACAGCAUAUUUUCUUCAAUAGAAGGAGCACUCUGCUACAGAAGGGGACAAUUUGUAACAUUUAUAAAUCAUUACUGAACCUCUAAUGCACCUCUAAAUACCUGCAUUCAUGUUUUUAAAGUUUCUUUAACAGUAAGUAGAUCAAUUACAGAGGACUAC
This 326-nucleotide long non-coding RNA is filed under the name Homo sapiens (human). RNAcentral describes it as "HSALNT0043710". Lineage: Eukaryota; Metazoa; Chordata; Mammalia; Primates; Hominidae. The record is from RNAcentral.